RNAcentral lists this ribosomal RNA (251 nucleotides) under uncultured bacterium. RNAcentral describes it as "partial 16S ribosomal RNA". It matches the Rfam family "Bacterial small subunit ribosomal RNA", at positions 335 to 578 of the family's 1533-position model. The record is from RNAcentral.
AUGCCUACGGGAGGCAGCAGUAGGGAAUCUUCCACAAUGGACGAAAGUCUGAUGGAGCAACGCCGCGUGAGUGAAGAAGGGUUUCGGCUCGUAAAGCUCUGUUGGUAGUGAAGAAAGAUAGAGGUAGUAACUGGCCUUUAUUUGACGGUAAUUACUUAGAAAGCCACGGCUAACUACGUGCUAGCAGCCGCGGUAAUACGUAGGUGGCAAGCGUUGUUCGGAUUUAUUGGGCGUAAAGCGAGUGGAGGGGG